This 378-nucleotide unclassified non-coding RNA is filed under the name plant metagenome. RNAcentral's name for it is "partial contains 5.8S ribosomal RNA, internal transcribed spacer 2, and large subunit ribosomal RNA". The stretch from base 1 to 105 matches the Rfam family "5.8S ribosomal RNA", at positions 50 to 154 of the family's 154-position model. The record is from RNAcentral.
GAAAUGCGAUAAGUAAUGUGAAUUGCAGAAUUCAGUGAAUCAUCGAAUCUUUGAACGCACCUUGCGCUCCUUGGUAUUCCUUGGAGCAUGCCUGUUUGAGUAUCAUGAAAUCUUCAAAGUAAAUCUUUUGUUAACUCAAUUGGUUUCUACUUUGGUAUUGGAGGUCUUUGCAGCUUCACACCUGCUCCUCUUUGUUCAUUAGCUGGAUCUCAGUGUUAUGCUUGGUUCCACUCGGCGUGAUAAGUUAUCUAUCGCUGAGGACACUGUAAAAGGUGGCCAAGGUAAAUGCAGAUGAACCGCUUCUAAUAGUCCAUUGACUUGGACAAUACUUUUAUGAUCUGAUCUCAAAUCAGGUAGGACUACCUGCUGAACUUAAGC